UCAUCGGGUCAGGCCUUGGGCCAACGUAGGCACUCUCGCAGUUCCUCCGCCUUCAGGAAGGUCUUUUUGGCAGGGGCCUUACGGGUGCGCGCUUCGGUCCUGGAGGCGUUAUCCUAGCCUCCUCUCCAUCAGCGCCACCCGUCUGGGGCCCGAUAGGAGGGAGAUUUCCCUCUGUCCCCCAGCCUUUGGACUGUCACCAAACAAGCCAUUCGUUCACCAAAUACUUAUUAAGCGCCUACCAUGUGUCUGGCAAGGGAGAUGUAACAGUGAGAAAAACUAGGUGUGGUCCAGGCCCUCCAGGGGCUCAGGGGCUCGUGGAAGAAGUAGACAUUGAAGUACUUAUCACACAAAUGAGUAUAAAAGUACAAUAGCGAUAUCUGCCACGAAGGCGAGCAGACAGAGCUAGCGGGGCUUGCAGGAGGAGUUUUGAUCUUGCAGGGAUAGGAAGGAGGACUUAGUUCCUGCGGGGUGGGCUUGGGGGUGGUGGUGAUAGAGACGUGGGGACAGAGUGGAAAACAACAAAAAUAUAAUUAUUUUAGUUCAAAGUUAUUGUGUCUUGAGUUGAAAGGCAGGGCAGUUAGCAACACAGUUCAGAUUUCAGUACUGCCCCUGAAAUCUGAACUGUGUUCAAAGUCUAAAACGUUUACCUUAGCAAAUCCCUCAUAAAACUCCAUUUGGAAGAGUCCCGAGAGCGAAUUUGUUAAGUAUACUUGCAAAAGGUAGAUGAGGAGACAGAUAAAAUCUUAUUACCUCUUUCAGAUGAGAGGCACUUGAGCCCUGCUCAGCUAUGAGAAUAAGAGAGGGGAAUUAAUUCUAAUUGAAUACACUUGUUCUCUUAUAGCUGUUGUUCCACACCAGAACCAAAUGAACGCAAGAUCUGACAAAGAAAAAAAGAGGUUCAUCUUUUAUUCCCCCAAACCCUUUCAUUUAAAUCAAGAGGGUGGGAUGUGGUUAUUGCUGUGUUUUUAGGCAGAAUCAACGGUUUCUGGGUCUGAGAUGUUGCAUACACCCUCUCAGUCCCUGUAUCCUGAGAUGGAGUCACCUGAGAAUCCACAGCAAGUCCUAACCAGGGAUGGGUCUGGGUGAUUAAGGAAGGUUGGCUUCAGAACUGGGCCAGGGGCACUGCUUUGCUUUUGCUGUUUUGAUCAGCUCUCUGCCUGCAGGAGACAAGGAAAACCAAUGGGAACAGCUGGGGAAACUGAAUUACAGAGCUUUUCUGCACUGAAUCAUCAGGAGCAAAUGCUAGAUCAGAUAGGGUCUCUCUCUCUGCCACUCAGGCCACAGUGCAGUUGACGCAGGGCAGGGGAGCCCCGAAGUGGAGCAUAGUGUGUCCAGAACUGGUGGGUUCUUGGUCUCACUGACUUCAAGAAUGAAGCCACAGACCCUCGGGGUGAGUGUCACAG
RNAcentral lists this long non-coding RNA (1403 nucleotides) under Homo sapiens (human). RNAcentral describes it as "HSALNT0317902". The record is from RNAcentral. Lineage: Eukaryota; Metazoa; Chordata; Mammalia; Primates; Hominidae.